RNAcentral lists this ribosomal RNA (297 nucleotides) under Teleopsis sp. BOLD:ACP6385. RNAcentral's name for it is "partial 12S ribosomal RNA". The record is from RNAcentral. Lineage: Eukaryota; Metazoa; Arthropoda; Insecta; Diptera; Diopsidae.
GUAAUAGUUAAGAUCUUGAAACUUAAAAAAUUUGGCGGUAUUUUAGUCUUUUCAGAGGAAUUUGUCCUAUAAUUGAUAAUCCACGUUGGACCUUACUUAAUUUUGUUAACAGUUUAUAUACCGUCGUUAUCAGAAUAUUUUAAAAGAAAAAUAAUUUUCAUUAAUUUUAAUAAAAUUUUAUUUCAGAUCAAGGUGUAGCUUAUAUUUAAGAAGUGAUGAAUUACAAUAAAAUUAUUUAGAUGAAUAUAAAUAUGAAAAAUUUAUUGAAAUUGGAUUUGAUAGUAAAUUUAUAAAGAU